This 914-nucleotide ribosomal RNA is filed under the name uncultured bacterium. Its description in RNAcentral is "bacterial SSU rRNA". It matches the Rfam family "Bacterial small subunit ribosomal RNA", at positions 8 to 916 of the family's 1533-position model. The record is from RNAcentral.
AGAGUUUGAUCCUGGCUCAGAACGAACGCUGGCGGCGCGUUUUAAACAUGCAAGUCGAGCGGCAAGAGUACUUCGGUACUCCUAGAGCGGCGGACGGGUGAGUAACACGUGGAUAACCUGCCCCCGGGUGCGGGAUAGCCCAGGGAAACCUGGAUUAAUACCUCGUAAGACCACGCUCUGCAGGGAGAGUGGGAAAAGGCGCUUCGGCGUCGCCUGGGGAUGGGUCCGCGUCCCAUUAGCUAGAUGGUAGGGUAAGAGCCUACCAUGGCGACGAUGGGUAGCCGGCCUGAGAGGGUGAACGGCCACACUGGAACUGAGACACGGUCCAGACUCCUACGGGAGGCAGCAGCUAAGAAUCUUCCGCAAUGGGCGCAAGCCUGACGGAGCGACGCCGCGUGGGCGAGGAAGGCCGCAAGGUUGUAAAGUCCUUUUCGGGAAGGGGAAUAAGAGUGAUAGGCAAUGAUCACUUGAUGACAUGAAUCCCGGAAUAAGCCCCGGCUAACUACGUGCCAGCAGCCGCGGUAACACGUAGGGGGCGAGCGUUGUUCGGAAUCAUUGGGCGUAAAGGUCGCGCAGGCGGCGUGUAAAGUCUGGCGUGGAAGUCCCCGGCUCAACUGGGGGAUUGCGUUGGAAACUGGCACGCUUGAGUACGACAGGGGAUGGCGGAAUUCCAGGUGUAGGGGUGAAAUCUGUAGAUAUCUGGAGGAACACCAAUGGCGAAAGCAGCCAUCUGGAUCAGUACUGACGCUGAGGCGCGAAGGUGCGGGGAGCAAACAGGUUUAGAUACCCUGGUAGUCCGCACAGUAACGAUGUGCACUAGGUGUCGGGCAGUCAAUGUUCGGUACCGCAGCAACGCGUUAAGUGCACCGCCUGGGGAGUAUGCCCGCAAGGUGAAAACUCAAAGGAAUUGACGG